This 497-nucleotide ribosomal RNA is filed under the name uncultured bacterium. RNAcentral describes it as "partial 16S ribosomal RNA". It matches the Rfam family "Bacterial small subunit ribosomal RNA", at positions 28 to 507 of the family's 1533-position model. The record is from RNAcentral.
GAUGAACGCUGGCGGCGUGCCUAAUACAUGCAAGUCGAGCGAACAGACGAGGAGCUUGCUCCUCUGACGUUAGCGGCGGACGGGUGAUUAACACGUGGAUAACCUACCUAUAAGACUGGGAUAACUUCGGGAAACCGGAGCUAAUACCGGAUAAUAUAUUGAACCGCAUGGUUCAAUAGUGAAAGACGGUUUUGCUGUCACUUAUAGAUGGAUCCGCGCCGCAUUAGCUAGUUGGUAAGGUAACGGCUUACCAAGGCAACGAUGCGUAGCCGACCUGAGAGGGUGAUCGGCCACACUGGAACUGAGACACGGCCCAGACUCCUACGGGAGGCAGCAGUAGGGAAUCUUGCGCAAUGGGCGAAAGCCUGACGGAGCAACGCCGCGUGAGUGAUGAAGGUCUUCGGAUCGUAAAACUCUGUUAUUAGGGAAGAACACAUGUGUAAGUAACUAUGCACGUCUUGACGGUACCUAAUCAGAAAGCCACGGCUAACUACGUG